Molecule: small nuclear RNA, 104 nt
Organism: Nycticebus coucang (slow loris)
Lineage: Eukaryota; Metazoa; Chordata; Mammalia; Primates; Lorisidae
Source: RefSeq, a predicted model, not a curated record
UUUUAAAAUACUAAAAUAUAAUUAAAAUUUGAAUGAUACAGAGAAGAUUAGCAUGGCCCCUGUGCAAGGAUGACACACAAAUUCGUGAAGCGUUUCAUAUUUAU